Molecule: ribosomal RNA, 543 nt
Filed under: uncultured bacterium
Lineage: Bacteria
Description: bacterial SSU rRNA
Rfam family: Bacterial small subunit ribosomal RNA
Source: RNAcentral
AAUAGAUACCCUGGUAGUCCACGCCGUAAACGAUGAGUGCUAAGUGUUAGAGGGUUUCCGCCCUUUAGUGCUGCAGCUAACGCAUUAAGCACUCCGCCUGGGGAGUACGGCCGCAAGGCUGAAACUCAAAGGAAUUGACGGGGGCCCGCACAAGCGGUGGAGCAUGUGGUUUAAUUCGAAGCAACGCGAAGAACCUUACCAGGUCUUGACAUCCUCUGACCUCCCUGGAGACAGGGCCUUCCCCUUCGGGGGACAGAGUGACAGGUGGUGCAUGGUUGUCGUCAGCUCGUGUCGUGAGAUGUUGGGUUAAGUCCCGCAACGAGCGCAACCCUUGAUCUUAGUUGCCGUCAUUUAGUUGGGCACUCUAAGGUGACUGCCGGUGACAAACCGGAGGAAGGUGGGGAUGACGUCAAAUCAUCAUGCCCCUUAUGACCUGGGCUACACACGUGCUACAAUGGACGGUACAAACGGUUGCCAACCCGCGAGGGGAGCUAAUCCGAUAAAACCGUUCUCAGUUCGGAUUGUAGGCUGCAACUCGCCUAC